RNAcentral lists this ribosomal RNA (253 nucleotides) under uncultured bacterium. Its description in RNAcentral is "partial 16S ribosomal RNA". It matches the Rfam family "Bacterial small subunit ribosomal RNA", at positions 524 to 776 of the family's 1533-position model. The record is from RNAcentral.
UACAGAGGGGGCAAGCGUUAUUCGGAAUUAUUGGGCGUAAAGGGCGCGUAGGCGGCGGCUCAAGUCGGGGGUGAAAUCCUCUCGCUUAACGAGAGAAUUGCUUUCGAUACUGGGUCGCUGGAGGGAGAUAGGGGUGCGCGGAACUUCCGGUGGAGCGGUGAAAUGCGUAGAUAUCGGAAGGAACGCCGGUGGCGAAAGCGGCGCACUGGAUCUCUUCUGACGCUGAGGCGCGAAAGCCAGGGGAGCAAACGGG